This 497-nucleotide ribosomal RNA is filed under the name uncultured bacterium. Its description in RNAcentral is "partial 16S ribosomal RNA". It matches the Rfam family "Bacterial small subunit ribosomal RNA", at positions 28 to 507 of the family's 1533-position model. The record is from RNAcentral.
GAUGAACGCUGGCGGCGUGCCUAAUACAUGCUAGUCGAGCGAACAGACGAGGAGCUUGCUCCUCUGACGUUAGCGGCGGACGGGUGAGUAACACGUGGAUAACCUACCUAUAAGACUGGGAUAACUUCGGGAAACCGGAGCUAAUACCGGAUAAUAUAUUGAACCGCAUGGUUCAAUAGUGAAAGACGGUUUUGCUGUCAAUUAUAGAUGGAUCCGAGCCGCAUUAGCUAGUUGGUAAGGUAACGGCUUACCAAGGCAACGAUGCGUAGCCGACCUGAGAGGGUGAUCGGCCACACUGGAACUGAGACACGGUCCAGACUCCUACGGGAGGCAGCAGUAGGGAAUCUUCCGCAAUGGGCGAAAGCCUGACGGAGCAACGCCGCGUGAGUGAUGAAGGUCUUCGGAUCGUAAAACUCUGUUAUUAGGGAAGAACAAAUGUGUAAGUAACUAUGCACGUCUUGACGGUACCUAAUCAGAAAGCCACGGCUAACUACGUG